RNAcentral lists this ribosomal RNA (492 nucleotides) under Triticum aestivum (bread wheat). Its description in RNAcentral is "partial small subunit ribosomal RNA". Lineage: Eukaryota; Viridiplantae; Streptophyta; Magnoliopsida; Poales; Poaceae. The record is from RNAcentral.
AUGAUCGACCUCGGGCGCAACUACCUCCUCGCGGAAGGUUUCAUCGUCAACACCAUGGACGCGUUAGAGCACGAGACGCUGCUGGCGUUCAAAGAGCUUUCUGACAAGGGCGUGUACCCGCCAGCAUACGCUGUGGGUCGAUUCACCCGGCAGCGGUGCCCCGACUCUGACGAGGCCAAGCACAGCUGCUUACGGUGGCUGGACAACCAGCCGGAUGACUCGGUCUUGUACGUGUCCUUCGGCAGCGGCGGCACGCUAUCCAUGGCGCAGACGGCCGAGUUGGCGGCUGGGCUGGAGGCGAGCGGGCAGAGGUUUCUCUGGGUGGUGCACCACCCCAACGAAAAGGACAGCAGCGCGGCCUACCUCGGCACUGCCGCAAGGAGAUGGGUCUGCCUGGGUACGUCUUCUACACCUGCCCGAAGGGUUCGUCGAGAGGAUGAGCGGCACAGGGCUCCUUGUGCCACUGUGGGCGCCGCAGGUGGAGAUCCUUAA